This is a long non-coding RNA of Perca fluviatilis (European perch), 461 nucleotides long. RefSeq lists it as uncharacterized. The transcript has 3 exons. The record is from RefSeq and is a predicted model, not a curated record. Lineage: Eukaryota; Metazoa; Chordata; Actinopteri; Perciformes; Percidae.
UGAACCUGAACCUGUCGCCAGGCCCACGCGUCCCACUGUACGAUUCAGAGGACGGAGGGGUAUUCAUCGAGUGAGAUAUGUCAGGGAGAGGCCUGAACCCGUCAGAGAUGCUGUACUGAGGGGCAAUCGCCGAGCCCAGAGAGUGAGAGAUCCGGAAAGCAAGGUGGAGAUCCUCCAAAAGCUGCUGACAAUUGUGCAGACAAUUCUUCAAAUGUAAAAGUUGUAAGGUGUUAGCUGUGACAUUUUGUUUUAUUUUAUUUUAUUUUAUUUUUAAUCACAUGCAAAAUGGAGCCUGACCAGUCUUGUAUAAUUCCCAUACAAUUAGUUAUUGCUGUAGACGAUGUAAACGGGGAUCCACUGCGUUUUGUAACACCAGCGCUUGCUGAAGCCAUCCAAGAGUUAAAUCAUAAUAAUCCCCACCCAGACAAUCGUCCUGAUCAACCUCAUUUAAAUAACGGCAG